GUAGGUGGCAAGCGUUGUCCGGAAUUAUUGGGCGUAAAGCGCGCGCAGGCGGUUCUUUAAGUCUGAUGUGAAAGCCCACGGCUCAACCGUGGAGGGUCAUUGGAAACUGGAGAACUUGAGUACAGAAGAGGAAAGCGGAAUUCCACGUGUAGCGGUGAAAUGCGUAGAGAUGUGGAGGAACACCAGUGGCGAAGGCGGCUUUCUGGUCUGUAACUGACGCUGAGGCGCGAAAGCGUGGGGAGCAAACAGGAUUAGAUACCCUGGUAGUCCACGCCGUAAACGAUGAGUGCUAAGUGUUAGGGGGGUUUCCGCCCCCCUUAGUGCUGCAGCUAACGCAUUAAGCACUCCGCCUGGGAUACGGCCGCAAGGCUG
RNAcentral lists this ribosomal RNA (372 nucleotides) under uncultured organism. Its description in RNAcentral is "partial 16S ribosomal RNA". It matches the Rfam family "Bacterial small subunit ribosomal RNA", at positions 527 to 896 of the family's 1533-position model. The record is from RNAcentral.